UGACAAUAUUUUUUCCUUUUUUGUUUUUGUUUGUUUUUUGUUUUGUAUUUAAUCUAGAAAUAUGAAAUGCCAAGUCCUAUGGUUUACCUUCUCGUGGUGCAUUUCGUUAAAUAAGUUACAAAAGUUUUACACUUUGUAAUUUAUAAACUAAAAACCAAGGCAAUAUUUUUAGAAGUUAUAUAAGGGAAAUAUAUAACCCCAUGCGUUUUUACUUAAUGUGCAAAAAUAUCUGAAUUAAUUUAUAAACGAAGUAUUUACUAAACGCAACCUAAUGGAAGUAUACAAUCUAUAAUUUGUGAUCGAUAGUAGAUGGUAAAUUAAUGUUACACGCUCUAAGCAAGUAUUACAGACCAUCGUUUAGCAAAGCAAUUUUAAAACAACCAAUUUAACUAGAGUUUAGAAGAACAGCGAGUGAUUUAAGGAAAUUAAUGAAGGAGAACGCUCCGAAGCAGAAAUAGAUCUUAUUUAUUUUAUCAUUAUUUGGUAAACGAAAUUACCUUAACUAAUUUUAAUAAAGAUAUCUUUUAUGAAUAUUAUUUAUGUAUUUACAGACACUAAAUUUGCUACCAAAAGUA
This is a non-coding RNA of Hydra vulgaris (swiftwater hydra), 575 nucleotides long. The record is from RefSeq and is a predicted model, not a curated record. NCBI's taxonomy places the organism in Eukaryota, Metazoa, Cnidaria, Hydrozoa, Anthoathecata, Hydridae.